UCGGGAUAGCUCAGCUGGUAGAGCAGAGGACUGAAAUUCC
This 40-nucleotide transfer RNA is filed under the name Sinowilsonia henryi. RNAcentral describes it as "partial tRNA-Phe". The record is from RNAcentral. Lineage: Eukaryota; Viridiplantae; Streptophyta; Magnoliopsida; Saxifragales; Hamamelidaceae.